UAACAAGGUCUCCGUUGGUGAACCAGCGGAGGGAUCAUUACCGAGUUUACAACUCCCAAACCCCUGUGAACAUACCUUAUGUUGCCUCGGCGGAUCAGCCCGCGCCCCGUAAAAAGGGACGGCCCGCCGCAGGAACCCUAAACUCUGUUUUUAGUGGAACUUCUGAGUAUAAAAAACAAAUAAAUCAAAACUUUCAACAACGGAUCUCUUGGUUCUGGCAUCGAUGAAGAACGCAGCAAAAUGCGAUAAGUAAUGUGAAUUGCAGAAUUCAGUGAAUCAUCGAAUCUUUGAACGCACAUUGCGCCCGCCAGUAUUCUGGCGGGCAUGCCUGUUCGAGCGUCAUUUCAACCCUCAAGCCCAGCUUGGUGUUGGGAGCUGCAGUCCUGCUGCACUCCCCAAAUACAUUGGCGGUCACGUCGAGCUUCCAUAGCGUAGUAAUUUACACAUCGUUACUGGUAAUCGUCGCGGCCACGCCGUUAAACCCCAACUUCUGAAUGUUGACCUCGGAUCAGGUAGGAAUACCCGCUGAACUUAAGCAUAUCA
This 543-nucleotide ribosomal RNA is filed under the name Fusarium cerealis. RNAcentral's name for it is "eukaryotic LSU rRNA". The stretch from base 189 to 342 matches the Rfam family "5.8S ribosomal RNA". The record is from RNAcentral. Lineage: Eukaryota; Fungi; Ascomycota; Sordariomycetes; Hypocreales; Nectriaceae.